UACGUAGGGGGCAAGCGUUGUCCGGAUUUAUUGGGCGUAAAGAGCGUGUAGGCGGCCUGGAAGGUCAGCUGUGAAAACUCGAGGCUCAACCUCGAGACGUCGGUUGAAACCACCUGGCUAGAGUCCGGAAGAGGAGAGUGGAAUUCCACGUGUAGCAGUGAAAUGCGUAGAGAUCGGGAGGAACACCAGUGGCGAAGGCGGCCUUCUGGACCAGUACUGACGCUCAUGCACGAAAGCGUGGGGAGCAAACAGG
This 253-nucleotide ribosomal RNA is filed under the name uncultured bacterium. RNAcentral describes it as "partial 16S ribosomal RNA". It matches the Rfam family "Bacterial small subunit ribosomal RNA", at positions 524 to 776 of the family's 1533-position model. The record is from RNAcentral.